RNAcentral lists this ribosomal RNA (135 nucleotides) under Flavobacteriales bacterium. RNAcentral describes it as "partial 23S ribosomal RNA". It matches the Rfam family "Bacterial large subunit ribosomal RNA", at positions 2777 to 2925 of the family's 2925-position model. Lineage: Bacteria; Pseudomonadati; Bacteroidota; Flavobacteriia; Flavobacteriales. The record is from RNAcentral.
GCAUCUAAGCACGAAGCCCACCUCAAGAUGAGACUUCUUCUAAGGGUCGUGGAAGAUGACCACGUUGAUAGGCUGUAGGUGUAAAGUCAGUAAUGGCAAAGCCGAGCAGUACUAAUUACCCGUAGACUUUCGAUC